This is a small nucleolar RNA of Hemibagrus wyckioides, 78 nucleotides long. RefSeq annotates it as small nucleolar RNA SNORD83. The record is from RefSeq and is a predicted model, not a curated record. The transcript has a single exon. NCBI's taxonomy places the organism in Eukaryota, Metazoa, Chordata, Actinopteri, Siluriformes, Bagridae.
GCCACAUGAUGCUAUAUAGACUGCAUUAGCAUUUUUAUGCAAAGAUGACCUUCUAUCUAUCACCCAAGACUGAUGGCA